This 94-nucleotide transfer RNA is filed under the name Streptomyces tanashiensis. RNAcentral's name for it is "tRNA-Ser". The record is from RNAcentral. Lineage: Bacteria; Bacillati; Actinomycetota; Actinomycetes; Kitasatosporales; Streptomycetaceae.
CGACGACGUGGCCGAGGCCGACCUCGUCGUCUGCUGCACGACGGCCCGUACGCCCCUCUUCGACGGCGCCCUGGUCGCCUCGGGCGCCACCGUC